UACGGAGGGGGCGAGCGUUAUUCGGAAUUAUUGGGCGUAAAGGGCGCGUAGGCGGCCCGGUAAGUCAAAGGUGAAAUCCCUCGGCUCAACUGAGGAACUGCCUUUGAAACUGUCGGGCUUGAGGCCGGGAGGGGGUAGCGGAAUUCCCAGUGUAGCGGUGAAAUGCGUAGAUAUUGGGAGGAACACCGGUGGCGAAGGCGGCUACCUGGACCGGUUCUGACGCUGAUGCGCGAAAGCGUGGGGAGCAAACAGG
Molecule: ribosomal RNA, 253 nt
Filed under: uncultured bacterium
Lineage: Bacteria
Description: partial 16S ribosomal RNA
Rfam family: Bacterial small subunit ribosomal RNA
Source: RNAcentral